CAAUAAGCGGAGGAAAAGAAACCAACAGGGAUUGCCCUAGUAACGGCGAGUGAAGCGGCAACAGCUCAAAAUUUGAAAUCUGGCGUCUUCGGCGUCCGAGUUGUAAUUUGCAGAGGGCGCUUUGGCAUUGGCAGCGGUCCAAGUUCCUUGGAACAGGACGUCACAGAGGGUGAGAAUCCCGUACGUGGUCGCUAGCCUUUACCGUGUAAAGCCCCUUCGACGAGUCGAGUUGUUUGGGAAUGCAGCUCUAAAUGGGAGGUAAAUUUCUUCUAAAGCUAAAUACUGGCCAGAGACCGAUAGCGCACAAGUAGAGUGAUCGAAAGAUGAAAAGCACUUUGGAAAGAGAGUUAAAAAGCACGUGAAAUUGUUGAAAGGGAAGCGCUUGCAGCCAGACUUGCCUGUAGUUGCUCAUCCGGGUUUCUACCCGGUGCACUCUUCUACGGGCAGGCCAGCAUCAGUUUGGGCGGUUGGAUAAAGGUCUCUGUCAUGUACCUCUCUUCGGGGAGAACUUAUAGGGGAGACGACAUGCAACCAGCCUGGACUGAGGUCCGCGCAUCUGCUAGGAUGCUGGCGUAAUGGCUGUAAGCGGCCCGUCUUGAAACACGGACCAAGGAGUCUAACAUCUAUGCGAGUGUUUGGGUGUCAAGCCCGAGCGCGUAAUGAAAGUGAACGGAGGUGGGAACCCUUCGGGGUGCACCAUCGACCGAUCCUGAUGUCUUCGGAUGGAUUUGAGUAAGAGCAUAGCUGUUGGGACCCGAAAGAUGGUGAACUAUGCUUGAAUAGGGUGAAGCCAGAGGAAACUCUGGUGGAGGCUCGCAGCGGUUCUGACGUGCAAAUCGAUCGUCAAAUUUGGGCAUAGGGGCGAAAGA
This 869-nucleotide small RNA is filed under the name Didymella gardeniae. Its description in RNAcentral is "eukaryotic LSU rRNA". It matches the Rfam family "Eukaryotic large subunit ribosomal RNA", at positions 44 to 930 of the family's 3401-position model. Lineage: Eukaryota; Fungi; Ascomycota; Dothideomycetes; Pleosporales; Didymellaceae. The record is from RNAcentral.